CAGCUGCCGCAGCCGGGACUCGAACCAUUUUUAAUUCUUCAUCAGCGCAAUCUUCCUAUAGAAGGAACGAAGGGACAAUGCACGGCGUGGGAGGACCAGCGGCCAUUCUCGACCGAGACUAUAGCGUCUGCAUUCACCAGUGAGGCCCGGGAAUGGAGAACCUGCCCAUUAAACCUCGGUGUCAUUAUAAAUAAAAUACAUUAUACUAUAA
Rhipicephalus microplus (southern cattle tick) is the source of this 211-nucleotide long non-coding RNA. RefSeq lists it as uncharacterized. The record is from RefSeq and is a predicted model, not a curated record. NCBI's taxonomy places the organism in Eukaryota, Metazoa, Arthropoda, Arachnida, Ixodida, Ixodidae.